AACACCCUGGCUAAAGAGAGAGACCAGCUACAGACCAGUUACAACACCCUGACUGAAGAGAGAGACCAACAAAAGAGGGAGAACAAUGAUCUCAUGGCAAAGUUCUCUAAUCUGAAACAAACUGCUGAAGGUUGGCAGAAGUUUGAAUCCAGUUGGUACUUCAUCUCUACUGAGACUAAAACCUGGAGGGAGAGUAGCCGGGACUGUCUGGAGAGAGGAGCAGACCUGGUCAUCAUAAACAGUGAUAAGGAACAGGAGUUUCUCUUUGGCCUCAAUAAGAGAGCCUGGAUUGGUCUGACUGACUCUGUUACUGAGGGGACCUGGAAAU
Coregonus clupeaformis (lake whitefish) is the source of this 328-nucleotide long non-coding RNA. RefSeq lists it as uncharacterized. NCBI's taxonomy places the organism in Eukaryota, Metazoa, Chordata, Actinopteri, Salmoniformes, Salmonidae. The transcript has 3 exons. The record is from RefSeq and is a predicted model, not a curated record.